GUGAGGUUAUGGCUCAGUGGUAGAGUAUUUUCCUAGCAUGUGUGAGGCGCUGGGUUCAAUUCUCAGCAUCACA
This 73-nucleotide transfer RNA is filed under the name Marmota monax (woodchuck). Its description in RNAcentral is "tRNA.Ala". Lineage: Eukaryota; Metazoa; Chordata; Mammalia; Rodentia; Sciuridae. The record is from RNAcentral.